This is a long non-coding RNA of Ostrinia nubilalis (European corn borer), 1322 nucleotides long. RefSeq lists it as uncharacterized. The transcript is spliced from 7 exons. NCBI's taxonomy places the organism in Eukaryota, Metazoa, Arthropoda, Insecta, Lepidoptera, Crambidae. The record is from RefSeq and is a predicted model, not a curated record.
UGGUAAUUUCUGACAAGACCCGACUGGCAACACUGCAAAUAAUCACUAGUGGUCAUACGCCAACGUCACUCGCCCGAAGCCAUAAAAAAGAAAACAAAAACUUCCGGUUCCGGAAGAAAAAACAGCCAAGUGUUUUGCACUUUUGCAGCAUACUCUCUUCUAAUCUGUGUUUUGCAGUGCACAAAAUCAGUGGUAGAACGUAGAACCUACAAGUUUUUUUGUUUUGCACGGUGUUUUAUUUAAUAAACGCUUCUGUUGUGCGAAUUGGACGCUUGACGUGCUGAAGAUUAAAGACUUUGCAUAAUGGAAUCAAAAAAAUUUUUUUUGGUUACAUUUUUAGAUGAAGAUGAUGCUCCUGGCAUAGUUUCAUCAAAGUGGUUAAGAUACCAACACUUGUUAUUACCCUAAUGUAUGCACUGAAGAAAUCAAAAACAAACUUGAAGAAGAUGCCUGCACCUGAAGCAACAUGGUCACAAUAUCAAAUAAAAAUACUUAAAAGUUAUGAAACUUAUGGCGAAGCACGAUUACAUUUAAAAAAAGCGGAAGAAACCUGAAAUUUGGACUCAGACGAAGCAGAAAAUGAUGUUACAAAUGAAGUGACAGUGGACAUAAUGUCUGCUGUAAAUUACCCAGUCACCUCCGGUUCUAAAGAGGCCAAGCAAACACAACUCAAAGCUGUUAACUGCCAAUCAGAGUGCAUUACAAACAAGCAAUAUGCUAUACAGCAGAGUCAUAUGAUUCAGAUUGUGUCAGACCUAGCUAACCAAAUGGCUGAAAUCAAUAGAAAAUUGGAUUUACCGUUAGCUAGGUCCGAAGAAACAUUUUCACCAACAGAUGACAAUGCAGGUCUUUCAGAACUUUUGGCAAGUCUACCAGUAAAGAUAUUGCAAGUUUUAAUAAUUUCGAUGACCAUUUAAAAAUAAACAAGAAUACAGGCAAUAAUGUCAUUUUUGUCUGGUAUUGGCGGCAGAAAUGUAAGAAGCCUUACGACUAAUAUGUUGAGACGAAUAAUUCUAGAUGAUGUAGCCGAGUUGUAUUCGUUAACUGGGAAACAGAUGAAAAAUUCGAAUAAAAAGUCAUUUAUGAGUACAGAAACCUAUAAAUUAAUCUUUCAAAUAUGUAGAAAAAUCAACGAAGAUGUAACUGAAGACAGUCUAAAAGAAAUUAUAAGUGAUUGGCUAAAUCAAGCUAAAGUUAGACUUUCAAGAAGAGCAGAAACACAAAAUAAAGGAAAAAAACCAAUAGCGGCGACCAUGAAACCGAUUUUUUCUCAUUUAAAGUAAGAUAAGAUAAAAGUAUAAAUAAUAAAAAAAUAUAUGUUA